This is a long non-coding RNA of Polypterus senegalus (gray bichir), 2445 nucleotides long. RefSeq lists it as uncharacterized. The record is from RefSeq and is a predicted model, not a curated record. The transcript is spliced from 3 exons. NCBI's taxonomy places the organism in Eukaryota, Metazoa, Chordata, Cladistia, Polypteriformes, Polypteridae.
UACAAAAAAAUCAGCCUGAGGGAUUACAGCUGAAGUAGCUUUCUUUAGUUUCUGAGACUGUGGUGAAGCAGGUCUCAUAUUCUUAGGAAGAGAUUGGUGGCUGCGUAAACAUUCAGUCUGGAAGCCUACAGACUGGAUGAGCAGUUCAUUAGAAAAACUGGAUUGAAUGAGGAAGAUCCAGAAGGACUAGGAAAAAGCUGGCCAGGGCUCAGGAUUCUAAAGAGUCCUAAUAUGGGCAAAAUAUCGGGCUCUUUCAAGAUGCACAUUCUGUAAAUUGAAAAGGUUUUCUUUAUCGGAUAUCAUGGAAUGUUGGCUCUAGAAACAAAGGAUUUCUGCUGUUAUCUGGAAUUUUUUUCUGAUUCAACUCCCGUUACUACCAGAAGGAAUCCUACUCUGCUGGGCCCUUCAGCAUGGCCCUUAACCUGAAAACUGCUCCAGAGGCGCUGUGCAAUGGCUGACCCUGCACUCUAACCUCCUCUAACCUCAUGCCAAAAGACAAUUUCCCCUUGAGGAUUAAUAAAGCAUGUCUAAAUAAAAAAAAAAAAUCUAAAUAUGUGUAUGAUUCUAAUAUCCCCGUUAAGCUUCUGGAAUGAUGUAAAUAUUUUUAUUAAUAUGUCUUUGUUUUAUCAUGACUCAAUUUUGUUUAACAUGGGCAAUACUAUUUUGUGGAUCUACGGCUACAAAAUGCUGUGUGGUUGUUGAGGGCAGGUUUCCUGAAGUUGUGCAUUGUGACGUCAUCAGCGCAAUACUUUAAAUAACCAGUGCCAAAUGCCUUAUGCCUCAGUGAUUAUGAAUAUAAAGAAAAGAGCUUAGUGUAAUUCUAGGUGUGUGUUUGGUUACGACUACUUGCUGGCAUCUGUUUAGACUAUGAUUUUGGAUUUGGGUUUUGGCUUACUGGUUUAGACUUUCAGCCCACUUUAACAACAGAUUCCCUCUAUACAGUAUUAUUCUACUUCAUUUCAGUCAGGCAUUACAAGUAAGGGGUCCAGUUAACAUCAAGCAAUUGGUUUGAGCAAAUACCUGUGCUCACUGUGGCCCUCCUUGGAUUGAGUUAAGUAGCUAUUAAUUCCCAGCCUGAAAAAAAAAAAUUUAAUGUGUACUUAAAUAUUACACACUAUUUGAGCUAAGAGACCAGCCAUCAUUCAAAUCAAAAAGCUGUUUACAUCCCUGGUUCAAGUAUGUUUUUUGUUAUUUUUCAAAUGUUAUUUUCUUUAUUAUCUCAUUAAUUCUAUUUUUGCCUUUAUUCUGUCUGCAUUUUAUUUUAUUAAUGUGGCAUUCAUGCAGAGCCUCAAGGGGCAGGGUCUCCAAAUAUUGGGCCAGUAAUUAAAACGAAGCUGCAGAUGUAAUGGCUGCUUUGGUGUUGCAGUUUUGAUCUUGAUUCCUCUCUUCUAAUUUUGGGCCUUUUUUCAAUAUUUGGAUUUUCUAAAUUUGAUGCCUGGCUCUUGUAUUAAGGUACUGUGAUUUGAAUUUGGAUUUUUUGCCUUUAGCUUUUACCUUUUUAGACAAAACCUAUUUUGGUUUCUUUGUUGUGCUUUGAGUUUUUUGUGCUCCCCUUUAACUAUUUAAAUCCUUAAAAAAUAGUCUUUUAAAUAUAAAGAUAUUUUUUUGUCUUUGGACCAGAGGUGUUUUAUUAACCGUUUACUCUUUAAUCCGAUUAAGGAGGGGCCAAAAACCAUCCUGGCACCACUAGGCUUAAAUCAGUAGCCUUCACUGAAUUAGGUCCUGGCACACUCACUCUGACCAGAUCAUAUGAGAGUUCUUAAGGAAAGUGACAGGAAUAGGGACAGGACCCAACAUCGUCCUAAGACAGGAAAACCAGUGCAGGCAUGAGGUAUAUAAAUCACAUGCCAGUGUGAGAAGGGCUCCACUGGGACUUAGUAAACCAAAUACAGGAGGCAGAGAAAGCAAAUUGUAAUCUUGGAGGAAACAUACAAACAUAGACACUAAAUAACAGGUGACCUAGCAGAAGUCAAAAAUGCCUGAUUUCCUGACUAAGAGAGAAUGCAAACAGUUUACAAGAGGUAAAAAUUCCUCUGGAUUCGUACUUCACUUUUUCAGAGUUAGGAUGGUGUUGAUCUUUUAAAGGUCAGGACUGGCAUGUAUCCAGCCAUAAAUCUCCAUCCCAUUAGAAAGUUACAGCUGUUCUUUACAAAAUAAGAGUUUAAACAAUCUAUGUGAUUUUGAAUCAAAACAGUGAUCAGGUAUAACAGGUUUCAAUGCACUAGAUAAGCAAGGAAGUAGGGAAAUUCAAACUCAUAAUCAGGAAGCAAGCAAAAAAAGUCAAAUAUACAACCUAAAGCAGAAAAUAAAUUGCUAGAUAAAGUAGCUUUUUCAUAUUUUCAUUAUUUAGAACAAAAUGCACACAGCUUGUUCUUCUAAACAUUUCCAACAUGACCACAUAGCUGUUAUGAUUUUUGUUUUUAAAACAUAUACAUUAAUUCUAAA